AUAAAUAAUGUAAAAUAAGUAAAUAGGUAAGUAAAGAUGACUUUUAUCCUCAGCCUUUGAAUUGAUAAGUGGAUUGCUUUGACUACUCUGUAUAAUGUCUUUUUCCUAUUUUUUGGUUGAUUGUUUUCAUGGUUGGAGUUCUGGAUCUUGUCAGAUUACAGAGUGGGAGAGUACCAACUAUUGGAACAGACUGAUAAGGCUGCUGGAGGACACAGAAGCCUUUCCCAGCUGUGCCCUCAGAUCUGGAAACUGAUCAGUGAUGGGCCAAUUCCCUGCAAGCCUCUCACUGUCUACUUCUGGGCUUCGUGCUGGAGAAAUUGAUCUUGGCUUCUGGAAAGACAAGCAUGCAGACUUAGUUUUCAUGAUGGUUGCCAACUCCAUGGAAAACAAGAAACCUUCCAGGACAUGGAACACCCGGCAGUGGCAAGGCUGGGUUAAGUGUCCAUCAUCCUUAUUACUGGAACUAUUUUAGAAUAAAGUCAGACACUGAGCUGUGAUCCAUUGGCAAUAAGAAGACUGUUACUUAUAGUAGACUUCCUGAGUUCAGGAAAGGAAACAUGGUCUCCCUAGUGCAAACCAGUUGGUGUUUGACUCUCACUCUGUCCCAUGCUUUAACUGUUGUGGCAUAACUAUCUCUUAAAUAUUAACUGUAUUGUUUUCUUGGAAUACACCAGAAAACCUAUCACUGGGAUUAGAUGGCUAUGGUGCCUGUUUUUUGGCAGAGUGGGCAAUGUGUAAGCUAUAAUUCAGAGAACUGACUUAUUUCUACUUAUUUAGUGUUUGACCACUAACUUCUUGAGGAGUAUAAACUCCUCAGUCUCAGCUUCUCCAUCUUUAGAAUGGGGGCAAUGACUGCAAAAGAUUGUGUGCCAAAGUAUCUUAUUGAAGCAAUAAAAUGCUCCAACACUGAUGUCUCAUUUCUUUCCUAAACAUACCUCUGCUUCCCCUUCACUUCUUAUAGAUCCUUCACCUCUGAAAUGGACAAAAGUGUAGGGCAUGGAGUGCUGGAUGCUGACUUACAAAAGUGCUCCACCACAGAUUAUACUGAAAAUUGUUGUCUGUAUACACAGCGUUUGACCUGCUCUCCUCCACAAAGUGAAAAGUUUCAGUCCAUUGUUACCAAAAGGAGUCCAAUUCUUGUGUAGAAAU
Molecule: long non-coding RNA, 1149 nt
Organism: Onychomys torridus (southern grasshopper mouse)
Lineage: Eukaryota; Metazoa; Chordata; Mammalia; Rodentia; Cricetidae
Exons: 3
Source: RefSeq, a predicted model, not a curated record